AUGCCGCCACCGGUGCCGGCCGUCCGGCUCGGGGCGCCGCCGCCGCCCCCGUGCCUCAGGACCCACGGGGCCAAGAUGGCGCGCCGGCACAUGUACGACUGGAUCGUGCUGCUCCUCCUCGCCGCCAUCGAGGUCGCGCUCAACCUCAUCACGCCCUUCCACCGCUUCGUCGCCGAGUUCAUGAUGGAGGACCUCCGCUACCCCAUGAAGCCCAACACCAUCCCCGUCUGGGCCGUCCCGAUAUACGCCGUCAUCCUGCCGAUGCUCAUCUUCGCCGCCAUCUAUGUCAAGAAGAAGAAUGCCUACGACCUGCAUCACGCCAUACUAGGCCUGCUGUUCUCCGUGCUCAUCACCGGCGUCCUCACCGAUGCGAUCAAGGACGGCGUCGGCCGGCCUCGCCCCAACUUCUACUAUCGAUGCUUUCCUGACGGAGUGCCGAACUAUGAGGCGGUCACUCGACAAGUCAUAUGCCACGGAGACGCAAAAGUCAUCAAAGAAGGGCACAAGAGCUUCCCCAGUGGCCACACUUCAUGGUCCUUUGCCGGGCUGGGCUUCCUGUCGUGGUACCUUGCCGGCAAGAUCAGGGUGUUUGACCGGGGCGGACACAUUGCCAAGCUCUGUGUCGUGAUCCUGCCACUGCUCUUCGCUGCGAUGGUCGGCGUGUCGCGGGUCGCAGACUACUGGCACCACUGGCAGGACGUGUUUGCCGGUGGGAUCCUCGGGCUGGUUGUUGCUUCGUUCUGCUAUCUGCAGUUCUUCCCGCAUCCGGCUAGCAAACACGGGCUGUGGCCUCAUGCAUUCCGGCAUCAGGAUCCUAACCCGGAAACUGAGAACCAAGGAACAACAGAUCCCCAUCAGUCGGUGCUGCCGUCCAUGGUACAACAUGUUGCCUCCAUGGAGAUGAGAACCAAUGGCCGAGCGUUGGAUAACAUGGAGGCUGGCAGCGGCAGAGCCUGGUAA
This 960-nucleotide ribosomal RNA is filed under the name Triticum aestivum (bread wheat). Its description in RNAcentral is "partial small subunit ribosomal RNA". The record is from RNAcentral. Lineage: Eukaryota; Viridiplantae; Streptophyta; Magnoliopsida; Poales; Poaceae.